GUCAUCUCAAAAGAGUGAUAUAAUGAAAUUCUUACAUUAGGGUGAAUCAUACGAAAUAGUGAUACAAAUGUUUUCUUUUCAAGUUCAAAAGUAUCGUAUCCGUUUGUCAAGAAAAAUGACAUUAGCAAGUUCACAUAAUGAAUCAAAGAAUGGAAAAGAUCCUCCUCAACAAAAUCAUGAAGAAACAGUGCAAGAAUCUACACCAUCUGGAUUAUCAGAUUUACAAAUGCAAAGUACAGAAGUUGGUGAAAUCACAGAAAUGCCAAAUUUUGAAAUAUUAAACACAUCUGCAGUACUUCAUUAUUGUAAACACAAAAUAUUAAAACCAUAUUUGACAUUAUUAGGAAUAAUGGGUUUAAAACCAAUGAGUAGUGAUGAUUCACAACGAUGCUCUUGUUAUUGUAUUUUUGCAAAUCUUCAUACUUUGCAGGUCACAAUAUUUAUGUGCAUUGGAUAUAUUUUACAAUAUAUGGCAUGUUUUAGGAGAGAUAGAGGCUUUUGUUAUAAAACAAUGCCUUUGAAAUUUCAAAUGACAUCCAUCAAUAAGCAACAUUCAGAAAAAGUUAUUUGCUAUGGAAAUGUUAUAUUUAGUUAUCUAGUUCCCAGUAUUUUACAUUUAAUUGCAUACUUAUAUACUAUAUAUCUAUUUCGAAUUAAAGAAAAUGAACAAUUACAAAAUUUAAUGGAAAGAGCAUUUCUUUUAUCAUCUAAUCCUGCAAAUCGUGGAAAUCAGAGAAAACUUGUAUGGAUACUGUGGUUAUUUAUAGCAUUGAGUCUUGUAUGGAUAAUUAUGGCAUUAAUUACAGUAAAUGUCUUAAUAGCCCAAGAAAGCAUUAUAUUUCAAUGGUUAGAAUACAGUCCAAAUCAAGUAAAAAUAAUAUUGAAGAUACUUUUAAUUGUCUGUACAUUAUGGCAUGAUAUGGUUCAAGGAACAAUUAUUACAAGCUAUUGUUUGCAAGGGCAACUUUUACUAGCACAUUUAUAUUUUCUUCGUGGAAAAUUACUUUAUCAUACUUUAUCUCCUAUUGAUUGGAUGAGGGAAAUUAGUGAAUUUAAAAAAUUAUUGAAAUAUUUCAAUGAUGAAUUAGGAUUAGCAGUAUGUAUUUAUACAAUUGUAAAUUUAUCAUGGGCAGCCACUAGUAUUGUUUGGUUGCUUCAGUAUGAUAAUAGCGAUAUGCCAAAUAAUCAUGUCACUUGGAUUGGUAUAAUAAAUGUAAUUCUUUGGAUUUUAAUAUCAAUAGCUCCCUUUAUUCAGGCAGCUCGUUUAACUGCUGCUUGUUCUAUGAUUCAAAGUAUCGGACACGAAGUACGAAUUAGACCAUUCGUAUAUCAAAGCACUCCGGGUGAAGACCUUGAUACUAUACUUUUGUAUACAUCGUCAUUGAAAAUGUGCGCCAAACUCUUCAGAGUACCAAUUACGGGUAGAAGAGAAAAUUAAUAAAUUUCUUCAAGAUGACAAUGCAAAGGAAUACAAAUUUCCACCAAUGGAUCAAAUUUAUAGGAGUAUAAUACAUGAUGUUGCUGAAGUAGCAAAUAUAUGGGCAUAUUCAUUUGGUGAAGAAGGCAUUGACCGUCAUAUUGUGAUUUUUAAAAGGGAACAUGCUCCAUCUGAAGAUCAGUUAAAUGCACUUCGUAGAGGAGAAGAAUGGAAC
RNA transcript from Apis laboriosa (Himalayan honeybee), 1652 nucleotides. RefSeq lists it as uncharacterized. Lineage: Eukaryota; Metazoa; Arthropoda; Insecta; Hymenoptera; Apidae. The record is from RefSeq and is a predicted model, not a curated record. The transcript has 9 exons.